ACCGGCAGCCAUAUCACCCUGUAGCCCAAGACUGGUUGCCCACUGAAGCUAAACAGGGUUGAGCCUGGUUAGUACCUGGAUGGGAGACCUCCUGGGAAAACUAGGUUGCUGCUGGAA
RNAcentral lists this ribosomal RNA (117 nucleotides) under Sinocyclocheilus grahami. The record is from RNAcentral. Lineage: Eukaryota; Metazoa; Chordata; Actinopteri; Cypriniformes; Cyprinidae.